The sequence is a ribosomal RNA, 554 nucleotides long. It matches the Rfam family "Eukaryotic small subunit ribosomal RNA", at positions 1186 to 1760 of the family's 1831-position model.
AGGCUUAAUUUGACUCAACACGGGAAACCUCACCCGGCCCGAACACUGCAAUGACAGACAGGUUGAGAGUCCUUUCUCGAUUCAGUGGCUGGUGGUGCAUGGCCGUUCUUAGUUCGUGGAGUGAUCUGUCUGGUUAAUUCCGAUAACGAACGAGACUCACACCUGCUAAAUAGCCGGGGCCGAUGUAUUCAUUGUCGGUGCUCGCGACACUUCUUAGAGGAACAAGCGGCGUUACAGCCGCGCGAAGCAGUGUGCAAUAACAGGUCAGUGAUGCCCUUAGAUGUUCGGGGCCGCACGCGCGCGACAAUGUAUGCGGAAGCGGGUGCUUUCCCUCACCGUCAGGUGCGGGAAACCCCUCAACUGCAUACGUGAUUGGGAUCGGAGAGUGCAAUUAUCUCCGUGAACGAGGAAUCCCUUGUAGGCGCGAGUCACCAGCUCGCGCCGAAUGUGUCCCUGCCCUUUGUACACACCGCCCGUCGCUACUACCGAUUGAAUGACUUAGUGAUGGCUCAUGGACGAGGCCGGCCUCGAGCCGACUGAGGAAAGGUGAGCCG